CGUGCAGAAAUGAACUGUUGUCAGAGUUUCAAUGGAAUUAAUAUUUUUAGUAAAAUGUUAAUGGUGAAUGUGUUAAUGUAAAGAGUUAGAAGAUUAGUGAUGCAUAAUGAAAGUAAUGCAUUCUUUUGCAUGAAAAUAGGAAUAUAAUAAAUGUCCUUCAGGUGACUGAAGCUGCAGUCAUUUUAUUGAAGAUUAAAGUUUGAUUGACCUUUGUUAGGGUGAUUAACCCUUCUGGAAUUAAAAGCCCAGGCUAAAUUAUUCUGUCCAAUUUAAAUGCAAA
This 280-nucleotide long non-coding RNA is filed under the name Phascolarctos cinereus (koala). RNAcentral's name for it is "Rhabdomyosarcoma 2 associated transcript conserved region 7 (ENSPCIG00000013695.2)". It matches the Rfam family "Rhabdomyosarcoma 2 associated transcript conserved region 7". Lineage: Eukaryota; Metazoa; Chordata; Mammalia; Diprotodontia; Phascolarctidae. The record is from RNAcentral.